ACGCUGGCGGCGUGCUUAACACAUGCAAGUCGAACGGAAAGGCCCUGCUUUUGUGGGGUGCUCGAGUGGCGAACGGGUGAGUAACACGUGAGUAACCUGCCCUUGACUUUGGGAUAACUUCAGGAAACUGGGGCUAAUACCGGAUAGGAGCUCCUGCUGCAUGGUGGGGGUUGGAAAGUUUCGGCGGUUGGGGAUGGACUCGCGGCUUAUCAGCUUGUUGGUGGGGUAGUGGCUUACCAAGGCUUUGACGGGUAGCCGGCCUGAGAGGGUGACCGGCCACAUUGGGACUGAGAUACGGCCCAGACUCCUACGGGGGGCAGCAGUGGGGAAUAUUGCACAAUGGGCGGAAGCCUGAUGCAGCAACGCCGCGUGCGGGAUGACGGCCUUCGGGUUGUAAACCGCUUUCGCCUGUGACGAAGCGUGAGUGACGGUAAUGGGUAAAGAAGCACCGGCUAACUACGUGCCAGCAGCCGCGGUGAUACGUAGGGUGCGAGCGUUGUCCGGAUUUAUUGGGCGUAAAGGGCUCGUAGGUGGUUGAUCGCGUCGGAAGUGUAAUCUUGGGGCUUAACCCUGAGCGUGCUUUCGAUACGGGUUGACUUGAGGAAGGUAGGGGAGAAUGGAAUUCCUGGUGGAGCGGUGGAAUGCGCAGAUAUCAGGAGGAACACCAGUGGCGAAGGCGGUUCUCUGGGCCUUUCCUGACGCUGAGGAGCGAAAGCGUGGGGAGCGAACAGGCUUAGAUACCCUGGUAGUCCACGCUGUAAACGGUGGGUACUAGGUGUGGGGUCCAUUCCACGGGUUCCGUGCCGUAGCUAACGCUUUAAGUACCCCGCCUGGGGAGUACGGCCGCAAGGCUAAAACUCAAAGGAAUUGACGGGGCCCCGCACAAGCGGCGGAGCAUGCGGAUUAAUUCGAUGCAACGCGUAGAACCUUACCUGGGUUUGACAUGGAUCGGGAGUGCUCAGAGAUGGGUGUGCCUCUUUUGGGGUCGGUUCACAGGUGGUGCAUGGCUGUCGUCAGCUCGUGUCGUGAGAUGUUGGGUUAAGUCCCGCAACGAGCGCAACCCUUGUUCACUGUUGCCAGCACGUUAUGGUGGGGACUCAGUGGAGACCGCCGGGGUCAACUCGGAGGAAGGUGGGGAUGACGUCAAGUCAUCAUGCCCCUUAUGUCCAGGGCUUCACGCAUGCUACAAUGGCUGGUACAGAGAGUGGCGAGCCUGUGAGGGUGAGCGAAUCUCGGAAAGCCGGUCUCAGUUCGGAUUGGGGUCUGCAACUCGACCUCAUGAAGUCGGAGUCGCUAGUAAUCGCAGAUCAGCAACGCUGCGGUGAAUACGUUCCCGGG
This 1338-nucleotide ribosomal RNA is filed under the name uncultured bacterium. RNAcentral's name for it is "16S ribosomal RNA". It matches the Rfam family "Bacterial small subunit ribosomal RNA", at positions 33 to 1378 of the family's 1533-position model. The record is from RNAcentral.